Molecule: ribosomal RNA, 444 nt
Filed under: uncultured bacterium
Lineage: Bacteria
Description: bacterial SSU rRNA
Rfam family: Bacterial small subunit ribosomal RNA
Source: RNAcentral
AACGAACGCUGGCGGCAGGCCUAACGCAUGCAAGUCGAACGCCCGUAGCAAUACGGGAGUGGCAGACGGGUGAGUAACGCGUGGGAACGUGCCCUUCGGUUCGGAAUAACUCAGGGAAACUUGAGCUAAUACCGGAUACGUCCGUAAGGAGAAAGAUUUAUCGCCGAAGGAUCGGCCCGCGUCGGAUUAGCUAGUUGGUGAGGUAAUGGCUCACCAAGGCGACGAUCCGUAGCUGGUCUGAGAGGAUGAUCAGCCACACUGGGACUGAGACACGGCCCAGACUCCUACGGGAGGCAGCAGUGGGGAAUAUUGGACAAUGGGCGAAAGCCUGAUCCAGCCAUGCCGCGUGAGUGAAGAAGGCCUUAGGGUUGUAAAGCUCUUUCAGCGGGAAGAUAAUGACGGUACCCGCAGAAGAAGCCCCGGCUAACUUCGUGCCAGCCGCCG